Molecule: ribosomal RNA, 515 nt
Filed under: uncultured bacterium
Lineage: Bacteria
Description: bacterial SSU rRNA
Rfam family: Bacterial small subunit ribosomal RNA
Source: RNAcentral
UAGUCCACACCGUAAACGAUGAAUGCCAGACGUCGGGGGGCUUGCCCUUCGGUGUCACACCUAACGGAUUAAGCAUUCCGCCUGGGGAGUACGGUCGCAAGAUUAAAACUCAAAGGAAUUGACGGGGACCCGCACAAGCGGUGGAGUAUGUUGUUUAAUUCGACGCAACGCGAAGAACCUUACCUACACUUGACAUACUCGUCGGGACUUUCAGAGAUGAUUGUCUUCGGUUCGGCCGGACGAUGUACAGGUGCUGCACGGCUGUCGUCAGCUCGUGUCGUGAGAUGUUGGGUUAAGUCCCGCAACGAGCGCAACCCUUGUCUUUAGUUGCCAUCAUUUAGUUGGGCACUCUAGAGAAACUGCCGGUGACAAACCGGAGGAAGGUAAGGAUGACGUCAAGUCAGCAUGCCCCUUACGCUCUGGGCUACACACGUGCUACAAUGGUCGCGACAAAGAGUUGCUAGUCUGCGAAGGCAAGCCAAUCUCAUAAACGCGGCCUUAGUUCGGAUUGCAGG